AAAAAGUGAUUUCCAUUAACAGCAAAAGAGAAUGUUUAACUUUGGAUAAACCCUUUUUAAGAAGUCCCCUAUUUUUAUCUCGUAUGUCGAUACUAUACGUCGUUUAAUUGCACUGGUUGUUAAAGUAAAAUACAAAACAGACACUGAGAAGAUACCAUAAACUAUAGAGUUAGGAGAAUCGACUAAAUGCGAAUAUAAAUACACAAAGGGUGUGGACAAAAGAGAAUUUAAGCAACAGUAAGAAAAAUAUAUACAUUUUUUCUUACAGCCACUGUUCAUAAAAUGUGAUAUGUCAGAAAUGCUUCGCUGUCUGACUCAAAUAGGCACCACGCGCCGACGGUGUUGCUUGGCCCUCAUUUUCCAAUUAAAAAUCGACAGUUCAUAAAUCAUUAAGUAUACUGUUUUCUGUCAAAAAAUGAUUUUUCGAAAAAAUACUGGAAGAGAUCAUCUUCGUUAAAGUACUACUGGAACAGUUAGUGAAACUGUGAUAAUCGAUUUCCUUUAUACUAUUGUAUACUAAUAAAAUUAUGAAAUAUGCUCAUUAUAUUAUAACUAAUCUAUUUCUAUUAAAAUAAAUUAAUCUAUUUUCUCGAAAGAGUAGAUAUAAUGAUAAAUCCAGGAGAAAGUGGUGACUUGAAAGAAUAAUCAUUUGAAUUAUAUUUAUUU
Molecule: long non-coding RNA, 666 nt
Filed under: Brassica napus (rape)
Lineage: Eukaryota; Viridiplantae; Streptophyta; Magnoliopsida; Brassicales; Brassicaceae
Description: long non-coding RNA (BNAP_LNC004915)
Source: RNAcentral